RNAcentral lists this long non-coding RNA (1281 nucleotides) under Anas platyrhynchos platyrhynchos (common mallard). RNAcentral's name for it is "lncRNA (ENSAPLG00000017990.1)". The record is from RNAcentral. Lineage: Eukaryota; Metazoa; Chordata; Aves; Anseriformes; Anatidae.
GUGCUGCAGUGCCACCACCAUACUGCUGCCUGAAGGGACAGACUCCAUAAAACACUGGUGUCAGUGUUUAUGGCAAAGAGCCUCUUCCCUAAACUGACCUUUAGUUUAUUUCUGGUAAGUAAGUGUGUUAACAUUCAGGCCGUUGUAUUAAUUUGUCACUUGCCCCAAAUUUUAUGGCAGUAGGUAAAAGUAAAAUGAAACCGUAAUUGUUCUGUUACAGCCUUCCCUAUCUGGAAUUAAUUACAAAGUCAUUAUAAUAUCAACAUUUAUUUUUUUGUAAAGAGAAAGCCACAAUCAUGGUUUUAAUUUCACAUAUGCGGUAUAGAAAUUGCCUGAUCAUUCCUCUGUGUUAAAAGUACGUUCUGUAACUCAACCAGUGCAAAGGGCUGGGAGCAGUUUUCUGUAAAGCACAUUACUGGGUGUAUUUCAGCUGUGCUGCUGCAGGUGAAGAGUGGGUGUGUGCUGAGCUGGAUUAAGCAACUGUUAUGAAUUCACCCAGAUGUUCUCACCCUUUAAAUUAAAUUGCUCUAAAAUUUAUGUCAAACAGUUAACAAAUUCUUGUGUAAAGAAUUUGUUGAAAGGGAACAGUUGUAAUUAAUACAAGGCUAUAAAGUGGCUUUUCAAGGUAGCUUGUGACAAAUUAAGCCCCUCCAAGUUUGCCCAGGCUGAUGCAAUACUUAUGGAGGCAAAGAGAAGCUCUGUCUCUGGCUUUUGAGGGUAGAGAAUGCGGUGGGAGGAGUAAGAGCCAGUAAUGAGCACCAGAGGAGGAGAAAAGAGAAGCAGACAGGAGGGUAGAGGUGUAGAGGCGGGCUGAGGACUACAUGUAUAUAGGUGAAAUCUCUGGGGCUUGAGACUCCAUUUAAGUGCAGCUCAGUGGAAAAUGAAAAGAUUCCAUUUUUACUUCUGUGAAUGCAACUUUGGACAGCUAACAUCAUAUUUGUUUUGGAGCUGUUGUGAGGUGAAUGGCAAAUGUCAAUUAAAGGAAAAAGCUGCAGUUACAAUUCAGAAGUCUUGAUCCAGGUACAAGGAAUGCACUGUGGUAGCAGUCAAUAGUGAAAAGUUGUUCUGCACUGUGAUUACAACAGAGGAAACAGUCUGAGAUAUCUUUAAGAGAGAAGAGAGUUUAAGAGAGUUUGGCUGAUUACAAAAUGCAAGGUUUGAUAGGAGAUAUGUGUGCUCAGAAAAGGUACAUUAUCAAACACUCUUCAAAACUCCAUAAAUGUUGCGUCUACAUCACUUGAUCAAAUAAUGUAGAUCCUGUGUGUAUAUACAAGAGAGGGU